RNAcentral lists this long non-coding RNA (8041 nucleotides) under Manihot esculenta (cassava). Its description in RNAcentral is "long non-coding RNA (MESC_LNC010042)". The record is from RNAcentral. Lineage: Eukaryota; Viridiplantae; Streptophyta; Magnoliopsida; Malpighiales; Euphorbiaceae.
GAAAAGAGAAGUUCCACUCACCUCUGGCUGACUCUGUACUCACUCUGCAGGUUCUGACCCUGUGCUCACUGCUGCUCUCUGGGGUUCCUCUGGUCCGUUCCUACACAGGUGGACUCAAAUGAGGGACCAAACUAACUCAAGAACAUUUCUAAGAAACUCCCCAAAAACCCUCUAAAAGAUCCCCAAACAAGCACAUAAAACAUGCAAAAGAAAGCUGGACAGGGCACUUUCGGCGGCAGGUUCGGCGGCCGAAACACCGCUCUAGAGACGAAACUCAUGCAUGUUCGGCGGCACCUUCGGCAGCCGAAAGUCUCAUCCAGAGACGAAACUCAACCUUCGGCGUCACUUUCGGCGGCCGAACCUUACCUCCAGAGACGAAAGUCCCAAGUUUCGGGGGCAAGCUUUGGCAGCCGAAACUGCCUCCACAAGGGGUUCGGCGGCCGAACCUUCCUUCGGCGGCCGAACCUGGUUUUGCCCGCUGGGCAGAACCCUGCUCUGUUUCAUGCAAACCUUUCCCCCAAACUUACCCAACUACUCCCAACUAGCACAUACUAGCACAUACCAUAAAACAUGCACAAAGGGGCCCAAAACGAGCCUCAAACCUCAAACAAACACAUCAAACAACACUUCACAUGCUUGACCAUACACAUCUCCCAAAAACCUCACCUAAACCGAAUCAUGCAUACUACCCAUCAAACUUUCAUAAAACCUUUAAAAACCAUCAAAGAAGUUCAGGACCCACCCUUACCUCCUUAAGAACUUGAGGAUGAGUGAUCCUAACGUGGAGAGAUGAAGAAAUCCUCUUCCAAAGCUCCAAACUUCCAAACUUACUAUUUUUGCUCAAAACCUUCAAAACACACCAAAACUCUUAAAACCCUUGAAAGAUUUGGUGAAAAACAUGAAAAACAUGAAAGUCAACUUGGGAGGGGCUUGAACUCACCUCUAGCUGCAAGUGGAGGAGACAUAUCCUCCUGCCACCGACCUUUGGCCCUUUUAUAGGUGGCUGGCCAGACCACCUUCGGCAGCCGAACAUGAAUCCGAAACCAUGCAAUGUUCGGCAGCCGAAAGUGACCUUCGGCGGCCGAACCUUUGCAUUUCUCCCUUCUUGCUUUUCUUUCAAAACUCAUUUCCUUUAACACUAGAAAACAUUCAAAACUUUUAAAACACACAUGAAAACUCUUAACACACACAUGAACACAUAGGUCUUACCCUUCUCGCGGGAUCCGACACUCGAGAUUCCACCAGACGACAGGAAUUCCGAGGCUGGACUCGAGCCGGGUAUUACAUUCUUCCCCCCUUAAGAACAUUCGUCCCCGAAUGUUCCUCAAACAACUAAACAGAUAAACACAUAGAUAAGGGGCAAAACUAACCUUAAAACAGAUAUGGGUAUUGCUGGAGCAUCGACUCCCGUGUCUCCCAAGUGCACUCCUCUAGGUUAUGGUGGUUCCACAGGACUUUCACCAUUGGUAUCUCCUUGUUUCUCAGCUGUCGAAUCUGGGUGUCAAUGAUCCGCACUGGCUGCUCGACAUAGGUGAGAUCGCUUAAGAUUUCCACCUCAGGCUCACUAAGAACCUUCUCUAGAUCUGACACAAACUUUCUCAACAUAGAAACAUGAAAUACCGAGUGAACUCGUUCCAUCGAUGCAGGUAAAUCCAGCUUAUACGACACAGGCCCGAUCUUCUGCACGAUCUGAAAGGGACCUAUGUACCGUGGAGCUAAUUUACCCUUCUUUCCAAAGCGAACCACUCCCUUCAUUGGAGACACCUUUAGCAAUACCAUAUCCCCCUCCUGGAACUCUAUCUGCUUCCUACGGAUGUCUGCAUAGCUUUUCUGUCUGCUCACAGCUGUUCUGAUCCUCUCUCUAAUGAUAGGCACUAACUUGCUGGUAAUCUCAACUAACUCUGGCCCUGCAAGAGCCUUCUCUCCUACCUCUUCCCAGCAAACAGGUGUUCUGCACUUCCUCCCAUACAGAGCUUCAUAAUGAGCCAUUCCUAUGCUAGCAUGAUGGCUGUUGUUGUAGGCAAACUCCACCAGAGGUAGAUGCUGCCUCCAAGAACCGCCAAAGUCUAACACACACAUUCUCAGCAUAUCUUCUAUGGUCUGGAUGGUCCUCUCUAACUGACCGUCUGUCUGUGGAUGGAAAGCAGUGCUGAAAUCCAAUCUUGUACCCAUAGCAGCUUGCAGACUCCGCCAAAACCUGGAGGUGAACUGCGGUCCUCUAUCUGAUACUAUCGACACUGGAACUCCAUGCAGCUUGACUAUCUCUUCGACAUAGACCUGCGCUAACUUGUCCACAGAAUAGUUGCUCCUGACUGGAAUGAAGUGAGCAGAUUUCGUCAGUCUGUCCACAAUCACCCAUAUGGAGUCUAGCCUAUUGGACGUCGCCGGUAACCCCACUACAAAAUCCAUAGCUAUGUUCUCCCAUUUCCACUCUGGAAUCGGCAGUGGGUUAAGCAUUCCAGCCAGCUUCUGGUGUUCUAGCUUCACCCUUUGACAUGUCUCGCAGGCUGACACAAACUGUGCCACUUCUCUCUUCAUCGCUGGCCACCAAUACACCCUUCUCAGGUCUUGAUACAUCUUGGUGGCUCCAGGGUGAACGCUAUACCUCGCACUAUGAGCUUCCCUCAUAAUGUCUUCCUUCAAACUGCUAUCAUCUGGUACACAUAAUCUCUUACCGUGCCGAAGAAUCCCCUCACUGUCAAAUCUGAACUCUGCACUGUUGCCAGACUGAACAGUCCUGGCAAUCUUCACUAACUCAGGAUCUUCGUGCUGUUUCAGAGCCACUUGCUCUAGAAACACUGGUGUCACUCUCAUCUGUGCAAUCAACGCACCUGUACCAGAUACCUGCAACUGGAGCCCUUCAUCCAUGAGUCUGUAAAAGUCCUUCACCACCGGUCUUCUCUCUACUGCAAUGUGGGAUAAACUGCCAAGUGACUUCCGGCUUAAGGCAUCAGCUACAACAUUAGCCUUACCCGGAUGAUAUUGGAUCUUACAAUCGUAAUCACUGAGCAAUUCUACCCACCGUCUCUGCCUCAAAUUUAACUCUCUUUGACUCAAGAUGUGCUGUAGGCUCUUAUGAUCUGUAUAGAUCUCACACUUUACCCCAUAGAGGUAAUGCCUCCACAUCUUAAGUGCAAAGAUAACAGCUGCCAUCUCAAGAUCGUGUGUCGAGUAAUUCAGCUCGUGCCUCUUCAGCUGUCUGGAAGCAUAAGCUAUCACUCUGUCAUUCUGCAUUAACACACAACCUAAUCCCACUCGGGAUGCAUCACAGAACACUGUGAAAUCAUCCUCACUGAUCGGCAGAGCUAACACCGGUGCUGAAGUCAACCGUCUCUUCAACUCUGCAAAACUCUCAUCACAAUCCUCUGACCAUACGAACUUCUGAUUCUUCCUGGUCAGUCUGGUCAUAGGAGCAGCUAUCUUCGAAAAGUCCUGAACGAACCUCCGAUAGUAGCCUGCCAAACCCAGAAAACUCUUGAUCUCUGUCACUGUCGUGGGUGUAGGCCAAUUGGCUACUGCCUCUACCUUCUUGGGAUCUACUGUUAUUCCUUCCUCUGAGACGACAUGUCCCAAAAAGGCGAUGCUCCUUAGCCAGAACUCGCACUUGGAGAACUUGGCAUACAAGCCAUGUUCUCUCAAAGUUUGCAACACUACCCUCAGAUGCUGGGCAUGCUCCUCGGCAUUCCUGGAGUACACCAAGAUAUCAUCUAUAAAGACGAUCACAAAACGAUCCAAGUACUCCCUGAAAACCCUGUUCAUGAGAUCCAUGAAUGCUGCAGGGGCAUUCGUCAACCCGAACGGCAUCACUAGGAACUCAUAAUGCCCAUAUCUGGUCCGAAAAGCAGUCUUGGAUACAUCUCCUUCCCUGAUCUUCAACUGGUGGUAUCCGGAUCUCAGAUCUAUCUUCGAAAAACAACCUGCUCCUGACAAUUGGUCGAAUAGAUCAUCGAUCCUGGAUAAAGGAUACUUAUUUUUGAUAGUGACUUUGUUCAACUAUCUGUAGUAGACACAAAGUCUAAGAGGUCCAUCCUUCUUUCUGACAAACAAAACUGGAGCACCCCAAGGGGAGGUACUCGGGCGGAUGAAACCUUUUGCUACCAAAUCCUGUAACUGUUCUUUCAACUCUCUCAACUCUGUUGGCGCCAUCCUGUAGGGAGGAAUAGAGAUCGGUCUGGCACCGGGCAUCAACUCUAUCUCGAACUCUAUUUCCCUAUCAGGUGGUAGUCCUGGAAGCGCUUCAGGAAACACAUCUGGGAAUUCUCUAACAACUGGUACUGAGGAUGGUUCCCUAACCUGACUGUCUAGCUCUCUCACAUAAGCUAGAAACCCCUGACACCCCUUCCUCAACAUCCUACGAGCCUGAAGGGCUGAUAUCAAACCCCUAGGUGUCCCUCUCUUGUCUCCUCUGAAGACACACUCUAACCCAUCUUGGUCUCUGAGACUCACUACCUUGUCCCUGUAGUGCAAGGUAGCACUAUAGGUAGAUAACCAAUCCAUCCCUAGAAUGACAUCAAAAUCUGUCAACUCUAGAACCACAAGGUCAGCUGGAAGGCAUCUAUCCUCUAUAAACACUGGACUGAACUGACAGACUGACUCUGCCAAUGAUGGGUCACAUCUAGGUCCACUGACCCAGAGAGGACACUCUAACUCAGAUACAAUCAACCCCAAUCUCUCUGCGGCUCUAGAAGAAAUGAAAGAGUGAGAAGCACCGGGGUCCAUUAAAGCAUACACUUCUGAACACCCAAUGAUGAGAGUACCUGACACCACUGUGUUCGACGUGUCUGCCUCCUGUUGUGUCAUGGUGAAAAUCCGUGUUGGAGCUGACGGACCUGCACCUCGGGAACCCAUCCCUGAUGAAGAGGCUACCCCUCUUCCUCUACCUCUGCCACUGCUUGGUGGACGGGCUGAAGCUGCUGACUGGACAACACUACCUGAGGUCAUCUGCUGGGAUGGUGCAACCAAAGUCGCCUGAGGACAUUCCCGUGCAUAAUGUCCCUCCUGCCCACAUCUAUAGCAGGCUGUAGAUCCCAACAAACAAGCUCCUCUGUGCGGUCUCCCACACCGAUUGCAAACUGGAAGAUCUGUGCCCAAACUGGAGCUGCUACUCAUUCCCAUACCCGACUUAAGCCUGUUCCAGAACUUGCCUCUUUUUCCUCUGAAUUUAUCCCAUCUCUUCUUGCUCGCACUUGCUGUACUCUGUGCUGAGGAACCUGGUUUAACACCAGAAGACUGUGCCUUUGAUUGCUUGACUACUCCCUGACUUAUGGCACUGGCCUCCAUGUUUCUAGCAGCAUCCACAAUAGAGUGGAAACUCUCCUUCUCCGCGUGGAGAAUCAAAGAGAAAUACCUGGGAUGAAGCCUUGUGGCAUAUCUCUUUGCCUUCUUCUGAUCCGUAUCAUAUGCCUGACCCACGUAUGGUAACAAUUCCAGAAACUUAUCUGUAUACUCAUCAACACUCAUCUCCUCCGUCUGUCUCAACUGUUCGAACUCCACAACCUUUAGCUCCCUGGAAAUGUCAGGAAAAGCCCACCCAGCAAAUUCGUUGGCGAACUCUUCCCAUGUCAUACUAUCUCUUCUGGGGUCCACAUAGUUCUUGAACCAUUCUCUGGCUUUCUUACAUUUUAAUGUGAACCCUGCCAUCUCAAUGGCCCUGCUCUCAUCUGCUCCCAACUCACUUGUUAUCAUUCUGACUGCACUGAGAUACUCAAAGGGAUCAUCUCCCGUAUUGAAUUUAGGAGCAUCCAACUUUAAGUACUCCGUCAUCUUCACCUUAGUUCCCUCUGAAGAACUGGGUUGGACUUCAACAACAGGGGCUACUGGUUCAAGUGGUGGUGGUGGAGGUACUGUUUCUCUGGCUUCAGGCUGUACUGGACUUGGAUGAAAAGGUGGGGGUGGAUACAUAUGAUAUGGUGGAUAAAAGGAAAGAUAGGGCAUAUAUGGCAUGUAGGGUGGAUAUGGGGCAAAGCCGGAGUACUCCGACGUACCUCCCAUCGGAUCCCUUGGGCCCUGUGGAAAGGGUGGAUAGCCAAACCCCGAGGCCUGUACGCCUCCCUGGGACUCCCCCAUACCUUCUUCUGACCUUCCUACACCCAUGCUUACAUCUCUACUCUGAGCCUCCUCCCUAGCCACUCUCUCUUCUUCUGAUCUUCCCCCUCUGCCUAUUCCUCUUCUGCUCUCGUCAGAAGACCUUCGAGGGUCUCUUGACGUUCCCUCCCUGCUUGACCUGUGAGUCCUUGCCCUUGGCAACGCAGGAGGACGAGCAGCUGUACCCUCACUUUCAGGUGGGACUCCAGUCAAUCUCGCGGAUCGACGAGUUCCUCGCAUCUUAACUCUCGCUGGAAACAACACAUAAUAGCGCACAUAAGCAACACAUAGAGGAAAACAACACAUGCAUCAUGGCAUUACUCAUCAUCAGCAGAUAGACAGGACUCACAUCCUAUCCUAGUGGACAUGUUUUCCUACUGUGCUUGACCAACUAAAUCUCUAUGAGCCCAACUCUCUCUCUAUAGGUCCGAUCAUGUGAACCUAGGGCUCUGAUACCAAUCUGUAAUAGCCCAAAAACCGAACCGCUACCGGCACUAGGAUCCAGAUCGACUUAAGGUCGCCGGGACCCGUAGUAAGCCUGCUAUCCUGUCUGUGUACCUGUGAAAUCCCAUACAUGAUCAUAUAGUUUCUGUCAAACAUUAAAACUUUUCUUUCCUCCCAGGGCUUAACAACACAUGCAUCAUGGCAUUACUCAUCAUCAGCAGAUAGACAGGACUCACAUCCUAUCCUAGUGGACAUGUUUUCCUACUGUGCUUGACCAACUAAACCUCUAUGAGCCCAACUCUCUCUCUAUAGGUCCGAUCAUGUGAACCUAGGGCUCUGAUACCAAUCUGUAACAGCCCGAAAACCGAACCGCUACCGGCACUAGGAUCCAGAUCGACUUAAGGUCGCCGGGACCCGUAGUAAGCCUGCUAUCCUGUCUGUGUACCUGUGAAAUCCCAUACAUGAUCAUACAGUUUCUGUCAAACAUUAAAACUUUUCUUUCCUCUUAGGGCUUAACCUGUGCAUGCACUAGUUCUGAUCUCUCUACUCAUAGUGUUAAGCCUGGUUUUCUCAUAGAUAUCAUCAAUAAAGGAAACACACAUAUAUAAACUGACCAUGUAUAUACAACAAGGGAUUACAACUCUCUAAGUCAAGCACAAGUCUAUACACUGUACACUAUCUCUUUACAAUUACAUGUCCAUACUAGCUAUUACAUAACUUUUCUUCUUCCAUACCCUGCUGAACUCCCUCUGACCUCUGACCCUGCAAACCUGGGGGAUAGGGGAGAGGAAUGAGCUAUACAAGCCUAAUGAGCAGAACUAUAAAACAUGAGUUGAAAACAUGAUCUCAUGGAAUGCACUACAUCACAUCAUCUCAGGGAUCAGACAUGACCACCAACAAUCCCACUCAAGGAUGCCUGACCUAGUCAGGUCUUACAACCUCCGUCUGCCUGGCCAGGCCAGGUCUUACACUCUGCCUGCCUAGCCCAGCCAGGUCUUACUAUCUCUGCUGCCUGAUCUAAUCAAGUCUUACCUACAGAUGUCUGCCUGGCCCGGCCAGGUCUUAUAACAGAGUUUGGGCUAUUGGAGUCGCCUUGGUCUAUUCCCAGCCUCAUACACAUCGUAUAUGCAAUGCGUCAACUUCGUGCAACUAAUGCAAACACCCUACUAUACUCUUAUGAUGCAUGACAUAUGCUCAAAAUAGUUUACUUCUGAAAAGAGAAGAUCCACUCACCUCUGGCUGACUCUGUAAUCACUCUGCAGGUUCUGACCCUGUGCUCACUGCUGCUCUCUGGGGUUCCUCUGGUCCGUUCCUACACAGGUGGACUCAAAUGAGGGACCAAACUAACUCAAGAACAUUUCUAAGAAACUCUCCAAAAACCCUCUAAAAGAUCCCCAAACAAGCACAUAAAACAUGCAAAAGAAAGCUGGACAGGGCACUUUCGGCGGCAGGUUCGGCGGCCGAAACACCGCUCCAGAGACGAAACUCAUGCAUGUUCGGCGGCACCUUCGGC